Molecule: long non-coding RNA, 1105 nt
Organism: Siniperca chuatsi (mandarin fish)
Lineage: Eukaryota; Metazoa; Chordata; Actinopteri; Centrarchiformes; Sinipercidae
Exons: 3
Source: RefSeq, a predicted model, not a curated record
AAGCAAACAAAGACAGGAAGUAAAACCACAAGACACACAAGGAGAGCAACACACUACAAAAUAAAACAGGAAAUGACAAAACCUCAAACUAUAACAUAAACAAUAAGAGGAAAGAGAAAGCUGGAAAGGAAUCAAAGAUGAAGCGCCACAGCAGGAGAAAGUAUUCAACCCUGAACUGGUCGCCUCUGAUUUAUUGUAGAAUCGGGCCGGAUUUCCACCAGAUCCAGAGGCACUGACUUCUGCACUUUUAUAAUCUUCACUCUUGUAGUGCAACACACAAAUUGUGUAUUGUGUUUUAACAAAUAAGUAUUAAAAUAAGCUGCUAGCCCAAAUUUACUGUUGAGAAAAAUACAGAUACAACCCUGUUGUUAAUUUGCAUAAAGCGUAGUGAGGGAGCGAUCACCUUAAUAUAAGACAUAGAAAGCGUAGAUAGAGAAAUCUUCGGCCAAAUAAUCACAAACUCACUACGGGGACAUCAUGUAUUUGAAGUUAAACAGAGGUAAGUAAAGAAAUCAAUACGAAGGGAGGGAGAAGAUCAAACGAACAACUUUUUGAUGAGAAGAAGAAGGAGGUGGAGGCCGAAGCAGGUUCCUCAGACAGGUGAGUUUUCUUUGUCUUUGUCUCCUCAGAUUUCAAUUCUCAAUGCGUGCGUUUUUUCUUCUGUUGCUAACUACAUUAUACUCUCAUGCUCUUUUAGUGUGAUGCGGCGCAGGAAAGGUAUUUGAAGUAAAACAGAGAAGGAAGAGACAAAUUCACCGUUUUCUUCAUGGAGAGAAAGACCGGCGGAGAGCCUCUCUUCCUCCCCGCUAAAGUCGACUGCUGCUUUCCUUUGCUGCCCCUCGAAGGAACAGUUUCGCCAUCGGACCUGCCGACAGUGUGGACCCGGCUUUGUCAGCAUCCGAACCUGAGAGAAACUCCACCGGACAAAUUCUGAACGAACUGACGCAUCAAUCGCUAGCCAAGAGCGAUUUCAAGUUGGUCAGAGCUGUUCUGAUACACGUGGACCUUCCAGUUGUCCCUGUCCCUCCACUCCACUGUGACGUCCUCAGGCAGGUCAGCUGUGGUUUUGCAGGGCAGCAGGACAGACUCCACCCCUGAAUCCACC